Molecule: non-coding RNA, 45 nt
Filed under: Schistosoma mansoni
Lineage: Eukaryota; Metazoa; Platyhelminthes; Trematoda; Strigeidida; Schistosomatidae
Source: RNAcentral
AUCCAGCUGACGAGUCUCAAAUAGGACGAAACACGCUUCCUGGAU